This 623-nucleotide ribosomal RNA is filed under the name Lactobacillus gasseri. Its description in RNAcentral is "bacterial SSU rRNA". It matches the Rfam family "Bacterial small subunit ribosomal RNA", at positions 389 to 1003 of the family's 1533-position model. Lineage: Bacteria; Bacillati; Bacillota; Bacilli; Lactobacillales; Lactobacillaceae. The record is from RNAcentral.
GAGCAACGCCGCGUGAGUGAAGAAGGGUUUCGGCUCGUAAAGCUCUGUUGGUAGUGAAGAAAGAUAGAGGUAGUAACUGGCCUUUAUUUGACGGUAAUUACUUAGAAAGUCACGGCUAACUACGUGCCAGCAGCCGCGGUAAUACGUAGGUGGCAAGCGUUGUCCGGAUUUAUUGGGCGUAAAGCGAGUGCAGGCGGUUCAAUAAGUCUGAUGUGAAAGCCUUCGGCUCAACCGGAGAAUUGCAUCAGAAACUGUUGAACUUGAGUGCAGAAGAGGAGAGUGGAACUCCAUGUGUAGCGGUGGAAUGCGUAGAUAUAUGGAAGAACACCAGUGGCGAAGGCGGCUCUCUGGUCUGCAACUGACGCUGAGGCUCGAAAGCAUGGGUAGCGAACAGGAUUAGAUACCCUGGUAGUCCAUGCCGUAAACGAUGAGUGCUAAGUGUUGGGAGGUUUCCGCCUCUCAGUGCUGCAGCUAACGCAUUAAGCACUCCGCCUGGGGAGUACGACCGCAAGGUUGAAACUCAAAGGAAUUGACGGGGGCCCGCACAAGCGGUGGAGCAUGUGGUUUAAUACGAAGCAACGCGAAGAACCUUACCAGGUCUUGACAUCCAGUGCAAACCUAAG